This 496-nucleotide unclassified non-coding RNA is filed under the name Hevea brasiliensis (rubber tree). The record is from RNAcentral. Lineage: Eukaryota; Viridiplantae; Streptophyta; Magnoliopsida; Malpighiales; Euphorbiaceae.
GCACCAGCACCAGCACCAGCACCAACACCAGCACCAGCACCAGCAUCGACUUUUAUGCCAAAUCAAAUUGGUCCAAUAUUAGGAAAACCAUAUGUAGACAUAAAAACACUAUAUGAUCUUGAUAAAGAAUUGGGAAGAGGUCAAUUUGGGAUAACCUAUCUCUGUAGUGAUAAAUCAAGUGGAUUGAAAUACGCGUGUAAAUCGAUUUCAAGGAGGAAAUUGGUAACACAAAAGGAUAUUGAAGAUGUUAGAAGGGAAGUUACAAUACUUCAAUAUUUAAGUGGACAACCAAAUAUUGUUGAAUUUAAAGGUGCUUAUGAGGAUAAAAACAAUCUACAUUUGGUUAUGGAGUUGUGUAGUGGUGGUGAACUUUUUGAUAGGAUUACAGCAAAAGGGAAUUAUUCAGAGAAAGAAGCUGCAAGAAUUGGAAGACAAAUAGUGAAUGUGGUUCAUGUUUGUCAUUUUAUGGGAGUUAUGCAUAGAGAUCUUAAACCUG